AUUGAACGCUGGCGGCAGGCCUAACACAUGCAAGUCGAGCGGAGCGGCGGACGGGUGAGUAAUGCCUAGGAAUCUGCCUGGUAGUGGGGGGUAACGUACGGAAACGGGCGCUAAUACCGCAUACUAUCACACGAGCCUAGGUCGGAUGAGCUAGUUGGUGGGGUAAAGGCCUACAAAGGCGACGAUCGGUACCUGGGCUGAGAGGAUGAUCAGCCACACUGGAACUGAGACACGGUCCAGACUCCUACGGGAGGCAGCAGUGGGGAAUGUUGGACAAUGGGCGAAAGCCUGAUCCAGCCAUGCCGCGUGUGUGAAGAAGGUCUUCGGUUUGUAAAGCACUUUAAGUUGGGAGGCGGUACCAGCAGAAAAAGCACCGGCUAACUUCGUGCCAGCAGCCGCGGUAAUAC
RNAcentral lists this ribosomal RNA (407 nucleotides) under uncultured bacterium. RNAcentral describes it as "partial 16S ribosomal RNA". It matches the Rfam family "Bacterial small subunit ribosomal RNA", at positions 30 to 526 of the family's 1533-position model. The record is from RNAcentral.